RNAcentral lists this ribosomal RNA (448 nucleotides) under uncultured bacterium. Its description in RNAcentral is "bacterial SSU rRNA". It matches the Rfam family "Bacterial small subunit ribosomal RNA", at positions 30 to 468 of the family's 1533-position model. The record is from RNAcentral.
AUUGAACGCUGGCGGAAUGCUUUACACAUGCAAGUCGAACGGCAGCACGGGGGCAACCCUGGUGGCGAGUGGCGAACGGGUGAGUAAUACAUCGGAACGUGCCCAAUCGUGGGGGAUAACGUAGCGAAAGCUACGCUAAUACCGCAUACGAUCUACGGAUGAAAGCGGGGGAUCGCAAGACCUCGCGCGAAUGGAGCGGCCGAUGGCAGAUUAGGUAGUUGGUGGGGUAAAGGCUCACCAAGCCAACGAUCUGUAGCUGGUCUGAGAGGACGACCAGCCACACUGGGACUGAGACACGGCCCAGACUCCUACGGGAGGCAGCAGUGGGGAAUUUUGGACAAUGGGCGAAAGCCUGAUCCAGCCAUUCCGCGUGCAGGAUGAAGGCCUCGGGUUGUAAACUAGCUUUUGGUACGGUAACGAAAAACCAACUUACUAAUACAAGUAGGUC